UAAUACGUAGGUGGCAAGCGUUGUCCGGAUUUACUGGGCGUAAAGAGCGCGCAGGCGGCUGGUCAAGUCCGAUGUGAAAUCUCCCGGCUCAACUGGGAAACUGCAUCGGAAACUGAUCAGCUUGAAGGUGGGAGAGGGUAGUGGAAUUCCCGGUGUAGUGGUGAAAUGCGUAGAUAUCGGGAGGAACACCAGUGGCGAAGGCGACUACCUGGCCCAUUCUUGACGCUGAGGCGCGAAAGCUAGGGGAGCGAACGGG
This 256-nucleotide ribosomal RNA is filed under the name uncultured bacterium. RNAcentral describes it as "partial 16S ribosomal RNA". It matches the Rfam family "Bacterial small subunit ribosomal RNA", at positions 521 to 776 of the family's 1533-position model. The record is from RNAcentral.